GGUUGCGAUCAUACCAGCACUAAUGCACCGGAUCCCAUCAGAACUCCGCAAUUAAGCGUGCUUGGGCGAGAGUAGUACUAGGAUGGUGACCCCCUGGGAAGUCCUCGUGUUGCAACCC
This 118-nucleotide ribosomal RNA is filed under the name Helianthus annuus (common sunflower). Lineage: Eukaryota; Viridiplantae; Streptophyta; Magnoliopsida; Asterales; Asteraceae. The record is from RNAcentral.